Macaca fascicularis (crab-eating macaque) is the source of this 1657-nucleotide long non-coding RNA. Lineage: Eukaryota; Metazoa; Chordata; Mammalia; Primates; Cercopithecidae. The record is from Ensembl.
UCAUCUGUAUUGUAGGGAAGUCAGCUUUGUGCUUGCUCUAUAGCAGUGACUUACCAGUGAGUAGGCUUAUUGGUAAGCUGUCUUGCUCAGGCUAGGUUGAUCUGGGCAGAGUUAGUCCUGGGGGCGGGACUAGACCAGGGGCUUUUUGAUGUACCUGUUUUCAUAUAAUAUUACAUAUUAUCACUCUUACAUUUAACCAAAGAGAAUAAGUGAACUGUUUCAAAGCAGAGAAGUCUCAAGUAUUUGGGAAAGAGCUGUCAGCUAUUUUAAAGGUUUAAAACUGGUAACAUUUGUGAGAAGAUUUUUGCUAAUGAGAAAAGGAAAUACAGAGACUUUAAUGUGAUUUUCUGAACUCACAGUCUUUCCUGUGUGUUCAUCUUGUCUCUCAGACCAGAAUGUUUUCUCAACUACUAUGUGGUGACAGCUGUAUCGUAAAGAUAUCCGGGAUUUCUUCAUUUGUCUUUGCCAAUAUGAAAGGUGGGGUAGGGUGGCAAGUAGGACCAAACCUGAGCUGCAAGGGUUGGAAAAUUGUAGCUGUGAGUGGGAACAGCUUAGGCAGAUAGAAAUGGGGGACAUAGAGGAGUGUAGUGCUUCCUGUUUUUAUUCCAUACUGCUGGGCUUGCCCUGUUUGCUCUAAAUUUAAGAUUAGUUGAGACUUCCCCUUCCUGCCCUCCCCCGCCCCCAACCCCCCGCCAAAAAUACAAGCAGUCCAGAACAGAAUAUGUUCCCACCCAUUAUUUGUCAGGAGAACUUUAGUGUCCUUUGGUCUUAAAGCAUGUGCUCAGUUACCCUCUCUCUUCCAAUACUCAGGUGACUAGUUCUCCUUAUCUUUCUUUUAACACUAACUUUGUUUCUGGUGAACCUGAAUCUAGACUGAUCCCUUCAUCAGAUUGCAGACACCUCUAUCUGGGUUAAACAGUCUUCUUAAACAUCCCACAAAUAAACCUGCAUUUUCCUCUAAGGAGAGUAUUAAGUUAAAGAGGCUUGAGCUUCCUUCCUUUUCAAGUGGCUAUCUUAAUCAGGACAGUCCUUAUAUUUACCUCAGUGCACAAAUUCAAAUAAUGAUAAACGCAGUAUUGCUUUCCUACAUUGUCUCAAGGGGAAGGACGAAACUGUUGAUAAAUAUGUAAGUACAGGGAAGGUAUUAUUUUCAUAAGAAUCUUGUGAUACCAUUCUUGGGCAUAUUUGGUCUAGCACUCACAAGUCAAUGUCCUUUAGUAUGGUACAAUGGCUGGGGUUAAAAAUGGAUCAGACUAGUUUAGAAUCACAGUUAUUAUAGUUUAAAAGUGGUUCUCAAACUUGGUUGCAUAUUGGAAGCACCUGGGGUAGCUUUUGAAAAAUAAGAGUUCCUAGACCCCCACUCCCAGAGAUUCUGAUUCAAUAACAACUGACGUGGAUUUGAGUCAGUAAAAGCUCUUAUUUGUCCGUAGUAGUGACUCAAUCUCUAGCAUACUCCAAAUCUCAAUUGCUACUUCAUUUCAGGUACUGUUAAAACCAGAGCUCUUUAUCCCGUUUUUGUUGGUUUGCAGUUAUUCUGGAAAGAUGGAUAUAUGAUUACAUCUAUUUAUUGAGCAUUCAGUUUUGCAAUGCAACAGCUAUGUAACCAGAGAUGAUCUUUGUCACUGGAGAGCAAUCAAGUACCUCUCUCAAAAAAAAA